RNAcentral lists this transfer RNA (69 nucleotides) under Ovis aries (sheep). It matches the Rfam family "tRNA". From Rfam's summary of the family: Transfer RNA (tRNA) molecules are approximately 80 nucleotides in length. Their secondary structure includes four short double-helical elements and three loops (D, anti-codon, and T loops). Lineage: Eukaryota; Metazoa; Chordata; Mammalia; Artiodactyla; Bovidae. The record is from Rfam by way of RNAcentral.
CCUGGUAGCUUAGUGGCAAAGAAUCUGCCUACCAAUGCAGAAGAUUCAGGUUCAAUCCCUGAGUCAGGA